CRCUCGCCCCCAACCAAGCAUCCUUACGGGAUGCUUGGCAUUGGGGCGGAGAUUGGCCUCCCGUGCUUUUGGUGCGGUUGGCCUAAACUGGAGUCCUUCGGUGGACGCACGACUAGUGGUGGUUGAAUAGACCCUCGUCUUAUGUUGUGCGUUGUAAGCUGUGAGGUGGGCCCUUGAUGAAGACCCCUAUGUAUCGUCAUGUGACGAUGCUUCGACC
This 217-nucleotide unclassified non-coding RNA is filed under the name Pyrrhopappus grandiflorus. Lineage: Eukaryota; Viridiplantae; Streptophyta; Magnoliopsida; Asterales; Asteraceae. The record is from RNAcentral.